AGGAAGCUGAAGGACAUUAAGUACAGGUUGUUUGGAGAUCUAAUAAAGCUGGGAAAAGAAAAGACUGAAAGUACAUGAGAUAUUUGCAAGCAGUUAAGGGGCUGUCACAUGGAGGAAGGAUUAGAUUUGUUCUGUUUGGACCAAGAGGAAAGAACUGGGAACAAUGGAAGGAAAAACUUUCUAACAGUGAUCUAAAGGUGAGAUCUGAUGCCUCAAGACAUGGAGAUCUUCUAGCAAAGCUGACCACUUGUUUGGAAAUCAAUCAAUGCUGGUCCCUGUCUUGUCUACAACUUAUCAUCUUAGGGAGUCACUUUGAACCAUGUGCCCAGAUUAUACAAGUCAGCGGUAUAUGCCAAAGGCAGGAGAGAUUCAAAUGA
Molecule: long non-coding RNA, 377 nt
Filed under: Monodelphis domestica (gray short-tailed opossum)
Lineage: Eukaryota; Metazoa; Chordata; Mammalia; Didelphimorphia; Didelphidae
Description: lncRNA (ENSMODG00000040422.1)
Source: RNAcentral